RNAcentral lists this ribosomal RNA (657 nucleotides) under Pseudomonas sp. RNAcentral's name for it is "bacterial SSU rRNA". It matches the Rfam family "Bacterial small subunit ribosomal RNA", at positions 44 to 703 of the family's 1533-position model. The record is from RNAcentral. Lineage: Bacteria; Pseudomonadati; Pseudomonadota; Gammaproteobacteria; Pseudomonadales; Pseudomonadaceae.
AGGCAUACAAUGCAGUCGAGCGGAUGACGGGAGCUUGCUCCUUGAUUCAGCGGCGGACGGGUGAGUAAUGCCUAGGAAUCUGCCUGGUAGUGGGGGACAACGUUUCGAAAGGAACGCUAAUACCGCAUACGUCCUACGGGAGAAAGCAGGGGACCUUCGGGCCUUGCGCUAUCAGAUGAGCCUAGGUCGGAUUAGCUAGUUGGUGAGGUAAUGGCUCACCAAGGCGACGAUCCGUAACUGGUCUGAGAGGAUGAUCAGUCACACUGGAACUGAGACACGGUCCAGACUCCUACGGGAGGCAGCAGUGGGGAAUAUUGGACAAUGGGCGAAAGCCUGAUCCAGCCAUGCCGCGUGUGUGAAGAAGGUCUUCGGAUUGUAAAGCACUUUAAGUUGGGAGGAAGGGCAUUAACCUAAUACGUUAGUGUUUUGACGUUACCGACAGAAUAAGCACCGGCUAACUCUGUGCCAGCAGCCGCGGUAAUACAGAGGGUGCAAGCGUUAAUCGGAAUUACUGGGCGUAAAGCGCGCGUAGGUGGUUUGUUAAGUUGGAUGUGAAAGCCCCGGGCUCAACCUGCGAACUGCAUCCAAACUGGCAAGCUAGAGUACGGUAGAGGGUGGUGGAUUUCCUGUGUAGCGUGAAUGCGUAGAUAUAGGAUG